CUUCCGUAGGUGAACCUGCGGAAGGAUCAUUAGUGAACCUGCGGAAGGAUCAUUAACGAAUCUUUGAAUUUUAAUAUUCUUACUAUUCGUGAACUUUAUGAUUUGUUUGGGGAUGAACCGAAAGGCGAAUCCCCAAGUUUAAAAACCAUUAAAUUUGUUGACUGAAGUAUAUGAAUAUUAAAUUCUUAAAACUUUCAACAACGGAUCUCUUGGUUCUCGCAUCGAUGAAGAACGCAGCGAAAUGCGAUACGUAAUGUGAAUUGCAGAAUUGUGAAUCAUCGAAUUUUUGAACGCACAUUGCACCUUUUGGUAUUCCAAAAGGUAUGUCUGUUUGAGCGUCAUUUCUUCUCACUUCAACAAUUGUUGUUGUGUGUUGACUGUUGCUUUUUCAAGCAUCAGUUGAAAAGGAAUCGCAAGUCGAGUAUAACGUUUUAGGUCUAACCACUCGUUAAAUAAAGACUGGUCGAUAACAAUCCCGACUCUAAUAAAAAUUUUGACCUCAAAUCAGACAGGAUUACCCGCUGAACUUAAGCAUAUCAAUAAGC
Molecule: ribosomal RNA, 545 nt
Filed under: Tardiomyces digboiensis
Lineage: Eukaryota; Fungi; Ascomycota; Dipodascomycetes; Dipodascales; Trichomonascaceae
Description: eukaryotic LSU rRNA
Rfam family: 5.8S ribosomal RNA (bases 190-341)
Source: RNAcentral